Long non-coding RNA from Pteropus alecto (black flying fox), 3764 nucleotides. RefSeq lists it as uncharacterized. The record is from RefSeq and is a predicted model, not a curated record. NCBI's taxonomy places the organism in Eukaryota, Metazoa, Chordata, Mammalia, Chiroptera, Pteropodidae. The transcript has 2 exons.
GAGGAGACACCCCGCCUUCAGAGAUCCAGCUCUCAGGGGAGACCCCGUAGGUCAGGGGUGGAAGUGGAGAAGAGGAGAAAACAAAAGUUCUUCAACUGGUCCCUGAAUCAGAUUUAAUAGAUCUAAAACUGUUUUAAAUAAAAGUGUUCUGUGAAAGCCAUGUCAUCACUAAUUUGAGUUUCCUAUUUAGUUCUACAACAAAUCUAUUUUGUAGGAAUUAAUUCUGCAUAACAAAAAUUCCAAGAAACGCAUCUACUACACACUAAAUUGUGUCCCCCUCAAAAUUCACAUGUCAAAGUCCUAAUCCCCAACGUGAUGGUAUUUGGAGGUGGGGCCUUUGGGAAAUUAGGUGUAAAUGAUGUCAUGAGGGUUGGCUCUCAAGAUGGGAUCAGUGUCCUUAUAAGAGGAAGUGAGACCAGAGCUCUCUCUUACUCUCUGCCAAGUGAGGACACAGCAAGAAGUUGGUCAUCUGCAAGCCAGGAGGAGCCCUCACCAGGAACCUGCACCUUGACCUUGGACUUCUCAAGCUCCCGAACUGUGAGAAAGAAAUGUCUGUUUUUUUCAGCCACCCAGGGUAUGGUAUUGUGUUACAGCAGCCCAAACUAAAACACUUACUCAAAUGUCCCCUCCGGUGUGGGGUCUAACACAGAACUGUGCUCCUGUCCCCACAUAAAAAAAAGUGUGUCAUCAGGCCACAGAAAUAUUUAAUAAGUAUGAAAAACAAAGAAUUUAAAAAUGUGUAACUCUAGAUAUUUCCAUUACUGCAUAAAACACAGCUUAAUUAAUCUCCUAUUCAUAGGUUUAUAUAUAUUGGGACUCUACUCACAACCUAUGAUACCUGUAAAACAAAUCUCAAAGAGUGUUUAAUAAAGGUUAGAGAGUUCUCCUCUAAUAAAACAAACCUAAUUAGGAUGAAUGCUGGGACACAUGUCCCAGCAAUCCAGUGAAUACCCACUAACCCUUGAGACUCAACUCAAACAGGGUCCCCUGCAAGCCGUCACCACGCCUUCCCAGGAAGGCAGACACAGCGUCCUCGGUGCUCCAUCUCCAUUUCAACAUCUAGCAAAAGCUUUUAUAUUUGUUUCUGUGUCUGUCUCCUCAACCAGACCUUGAAAUCAUCUAGAGCAGUUUGCUACUCUCUCCAGCAUCUAGAAUGGUAGCUAGCACAACGCAGGAGCCAAUGUUUGUUGAGGUGGAGCCACUCUGCUGAAUAUCAGUGGAACUCUGUCCUAUCUUGCAGCUUUUCUGUAAAUCUGAAAUCACUCCAAGUUUUUUUUUUAGAUGCCAGCAGUGACUGUUAACAGCAAUAAUCACAACUUCCUUACAUGUCAUGCAAGAUGACAAUGGCUACUAGAGAGGCUUGCUUGAGCGUUUUUCAGACGUGCUAGUAGGAGUUAGUAAUUUCACGUGUAACUUGAAAAAGAAUGAGUAACAAACACUUGAGAUUGGAAUCCUGUUAUUAAUUUUGGUCAAAUUAUUUUAUCUGGGUCUCGGCUCGUAAAAGGAAAUAGUAAUUCCUACUCUAUAAAGCUGCUGCGUUAAAUGAAGUAUAUGAGUAUACGUCAAAUGAGCCCUCCUAAAGACGUUUUAACCAAUGUGUUUGUGUCCUUCCCUGUACCGUGUUCCAACUGGACGAACACCUCACCGCAGGUGCGUGCAUCCUGGAACUGGUCCCACGAGCACCGGCUGUGAAGCUACCCCUCAAUCCCCACUGGAGCUAUGACUACCUAUAAAAUAAAGAAACCCUACGUGUGUGUUGUUAGAUGCCCACCCUGCCAAGAUGUCCUAUCCAGAACUCGCCAAUGAAAUAAAUGGGCUUCUCAAAACUCAACGCAACCGACAGGGGUCAGCAGCUCCUGACACCCACCUCCACCAGACUGAGCUCCGAAAGCGCAAGCACAGUCCGGACGCGCUCGCUGGCUGCGAGAAUCGCUCCUGCUCGCCCCUACGACUGACUCCUCCGGCUCACCGUCUUCCCUCUGGGAGGAAGGGGAGGGACUUCCUGUUUUUCCGUUGCGCGACUUCCGGCAGUUCCCAGGACGACUGCGUCGUGGACGGGUCGCCGGGCACCGGAACCAAAACGCAGAAGCUCGCAACUGGCUUAGUAAAACUAACGUCGAGUUCCCGAUUUUUGCCCCGAGUGGCCAACGGACCCGUGUGCCGCCUCGUUUUCGGUCCAUCAGCCCUUGCCGGAAGUUACUCCGAGAUGAGACAGGAAGUCCCACCCCUUCCCAAGAGAGGAAAAACGGAAAGCCGAGGUUGUCAAUCUAAAGAAGGGGUGACAGUCAUCGGGCUCGAGGGCGGGCGGUGUUGGAGUGGGAGGGCCACCAGGGAUUUACAGAGUCCCUUUGCGGGUCCCCGCGCCCCGGGCGAUCCCGCCCCCUGCUUCUCCCGGCCCUCCUCGCCCCACCCCGCCGCCCGCCCGCCAUGAAGAGCCCCGGGGGCCCGGGGAGAGACACGGACGCGCCCCGGCGGUCCGAGAGCCACUGAGGUCUACGCCGGGCCCGCCUGCUGCUCGGCGUUGCUCAGGCCUCCACGGAGAGGACCGAGAUCGGUCUGCCGCGCCGGGCGUGGACGCGGCUCCCGAUGAUAAGGAAAGUCUCCCCAGUGAAACCAAAUCGGGAUCCUCGGAGUCACAGGCCCACGGAAGCCCCUCGCCCAGCUCCAAUGCUAACGGGAGGCAGUAGAAGCUGAAGACGCUUUGGGUGUCUAGACGCACCGCACGGAUCGACUUUAUAAACGCCAGCGGCAAAGCACAGGGAUUGAGAGGGAGGAAGGAAGGCACGACCCGGUCUUAGUAUUCACGGCCCACCGGCCCCUUGUGCAGGAAAAUCCGCGGACCUCGCGUUUAGAGCCCUUUCUUUUGAAACUCAGAUCUUAAAUAGGAUGACCACGGCCUGAAAAGUGCAAUGACAGAGCCACCUUGUGUAGAGACGGACAGCGACGUGGCGUCAGAGUGUGAAGAUAGGCUUGCUGAGGAAUGUUAAUUUCUCAUGUAGGCAUGGGGAAAUCUGUUAAGUAAUCAGAAUUGUAUUUAGAAAGGUAAUUUUAAGUGAAUGGGAUUUUAAAAUAAUGGCCUGAUAAUUAUGAUAGGCUUUCUAACCAAAUCAUCCCUCGAGGCCAAUUUCCACUCAGUUCUAUUUAAAUCAGAAUGUUCACCAUAACAUAGUGUUUUAUAAAGAACUCCUUACCGGCGUUAUCUGAUUGAAUUCUCAUUGUAAACCACCUGAAUUCUCAUGUCAUCCACAGUAGGAAAUUGUAGUUUAGAAGAGUAGACCCUUCCAAGACCACACAGCUAGUAAAAGUUGAACUCAGCUUUAAGUUCCAGUCAACCUUGUACUCUCACCAUGCUGACUCAGUAAACUUACAAGUUGUAGAGAAACGCAGGGAAAAUAGUUCUCAGAACAGGUGACCAGCCUGUCAAUGUUAUAUUUAUUCCAUUAACCAACAUUUAUUGGGUUUUUAUUGAAUAAUAGAUAAGUCAAACUAGACUGCCUUCAAAGAGUUCGCUUGAAAUUUACUUAGAAUUUACUUGAAAACGUAGUACUUAUUAAUACAAUCUUUAAUGUCUAUUUCAACAUUGUUAUUGUAUGACAAGGUGAUAAAUUUCUCAACAGUAACAGUAGCUAGCACAAUUCUCCACAUGGAUCAGGCUUCCUAUUGGUCUUUGUGUGAUAUAUCUUGCUACCUUUCUUACCUGGGGGAUUUCGUUAACACUUCAUCCUUCUUUGAGCAGUGAAAUAAAAUUGCAAGUUUAUUUUUCA